GCUUUGGUGAGAAGAAGAAGAAAAAGAAAAAAAAGAAGGAAGAUUGACAACAGAUGUUAGCUCAGGUGCCAGUCUUUAAAAAAAAAAAUCUUUCAGAAGUGCGUCCUAGUGAAAUCCACGUAGGAUUGAGGUAGGAAAUUUUAUUUAAUACAAUUCAUUUUAGUUAAUACCAAGCCUCCAGUCCUCUUCCUGCAAGGACUGACCGUAAAGCUGAGAUCUGAGCCAGCCUGGAAAUUGGCAGCAGCCCUUUCCGAGGCUGGUGAGAGGGUCUGUAAUCCUCUUUGCAGCAACGUCACCAAGUCCCACUUUUGGCAGCCAAUCAAUAGUUUUAUCUCACUAAAUCGGCUGGGGAGUGUUUCAACACGUGUUAGCAACAGUUACCUGGAAAUAGCAACUGUGAGAGAUGCUAAGGGAACAGUAUUCCAAUUGAUGUACCCCUCCUGAAUUCUUGUUCUUGUGCAGUCUCAGUCUGCUCUUCUACCUGGGGUGCUAAGUUCCAGAUUUAUUUCCUCAGGCAGGCUAGUUAGCCACCUCUGUCCUGUGGCUUGCAUUCCUGAAUAUCUACUAGUCUUGCAAGUGCAAGGCAUGGAACUGACAUCAAGGGGACCCAGGCAAGAGUGCGGCUAGAUCUAGGAGUGAACCCAGGGUCCAUCCCCCACAGAUGAGAGGUCAGGAGCACCUUUGUUCCCCAAGGUAGGUCCUCGAUUGAUUUCCCUUCGUGCACUGAUGUCUUUGUUAUGUGCGUAAGAGGCACGUGUGUCUGACUCAUUGUGUGAAGCUCUUCAUGCUGAGAAUUGUACUGUGUUCAAUGCAUUGUGGGUGCUCAAUAAAUAGUAAGUCAAUAGGACAGCCUCUGGUCCUGGGAUUAAUAAACCACACCAGCUACACACACAGUGUGACUACACAACCUCAGGAUGGCCAGGGUGGAAGCAAGGAUGAAUCAUGCCAAGAAAAUGCUACUCAAUCUAGAUGUGUCAAUUCCAGCUAAGUCCAGGAAUGAACUUUUCAGUUGGGAUCUUCUGUGGCCCCCUGACCCCAACCUCAGUAAUGACAGCAUUUUAGCAUGUGGCACCAAGCUCUAUGCUCUCCAAGACUGCAUGUCCCUGGGGGCCAGGCCGGUGCUGUAGUGGUUAAGUUUGCGUACUCUGUUUUGGUGGCCAGUGUUCGUGGGUUUGGAUCCUGGGCAUGGACCUAUGUGCCACUCAUCAAGCCAUGAUGUGGUGGCGUCCAACAUACAAAAUAGGGGAAGAUUGGCAUGGAUGUUAGCUCAGCAACAAUCUUCCUCAAGUGAAAAAAGAGGAAGAUUGGCAAUGGAUGUUAGCUCAGGGCCAAUCUUCCUCACCAAAAAAAAAAAAAAAAGGAAACGAUUAUAUGUCUCUAAAUCCACAGGUCCAUCAAAGGGAGAGUAGAGAAUUCAUGCUUAAUUUCUAUAUCAUCAUGAAUCUGGACCAUUAUUUAAAUGUUAGCAUUUAACUACCCACAUCCACAUACAACUUGGGAAACUCAGAAACAUCCAGCUUAUCGGUCUAUAAACAAAAUUUGAACAUCUAGGUUCCAAAAUGUUCAUGACAGAAUCAGUAACAGGAUGUUUCAGUACAACUAAAAUAAGACUUAAAAAUGGAUUAUGUGCACCUUCCCAAGAAUCCAUCUAUUUUGCAAAGUGAGAUAAAGUAGUCUACAGAUGUUGGAAAUGCAAAGUAUUCAUUUGGACAGACGAGGGUUGCCAUCUUGAUUUGUUAAAAUACUGUGCCUUCCCAAUCAGUCUUUGGAAGAAGAAAGCCUGAUUUUGAAAAUUGAGUGUGAACACUUGUGAAGGUUUUGAAUUGUUCUUCUCUACUUUCCAAGUCAAUUCCUCCUCAUUUCCCACUUUUUCUCUAUUCUGCCUUUUUUCUGCUGCUCUUCCAUAUUAUCUAUAAAAUAUCUCUGAUCUGAUCUAAUCUGAAGCUCCCUCUGCUCCAGUGAAGGGGAGGUGGUGGGAUUCAAGCAUCCCUCCUCUGAGGAGUCCUUAUAGGGUGACACGUUGGAGAGAAAGCCUGGCUCCUUCCUUUGCAGAGGGAGCCUGCAGCAAACAAGUGGAGGGCUGCUGCUCGUUCACUUCCUGCCCACUGUGGGGUCUUGGAGCUCAUGCAAUUAAUGUUUCACAGGCCAGCUCCAGGCAGAGAUGGAUAACAGGAGUUUGCACAGAUUCUCUGCAGGGCCCUUAACAUGAUAAAUCUCACGGAGAGCUCUCAAGAGGGACCUAAACGAAAGGUCAAAUGUGUUUCAUUUUGAUGUUUGGGACUGGAGCAAGGAAAGCUGAGCCAGAAAAAGCACAGGACAAACAGUCUCUUCUUGUCAGCAUUUCCCGGCCUCCCUUCCUCAGCCCUCACAAAAUCCUCUUCCUGACUUGCCCUUGACUAAAUCCCCUUGGCCCAGGACUCAUCUCCUUCUGGAACGACAUCUAAUGAUGAAUGGAAAGCUACAUCCUUCUCCCCCACCACACACACUCAGUUAUUGCCAAGUAAUGAAAAAAAAAAAAUCCUUUGAGCUGGACAAAUUAGAUAAAAACUCCAGGCCCAAGCUCUGGGUUAGAAGUCAGGUGCAGGCUUCUCCCCUUAGCCCAGAACACCACACUCACUCGUGGGUCUGCAUCCUAAGAGGCUGGCCCGUCACCUGGGUUGGAGGCACAGUGUGGCAGCUAACAUGCCCCAGGGCAGUCAGACGAAGUGGCCUGGCCAUGCCCAGUGUGCUAAAGGCUGGUUCCUGUAUGGUCAGCCCUUCUGAGGCUGCUGCCCAUUGCAGAGCAAAUGCUGGGGGCACGCUGACCCCCUCAUUAUUACAGAGACAAAGGGCGGUUGCGGGUGGGAAACUGGAGUGCUUGCAAGUCCCUUCACUGGCGAUGAUGGCUUCUUUAGGAUGGACCUCUUUUUAUGCCUAUUUCCCCCCCACCGCUGUUUCCUCUAGGAAACCCUGUUUUCUUUCUAUGAUAUAAUUACUACCUUUUGGGAGACAGAUGUCUUCUAAAGGCUUCGAGUGAGACUAAUGACAAGCAAUCCUGAGGUGCAGCUGAGCUAAAGCCAAAUGACCUGGCGGGAAUGCAUGUCCUUCCGCCCGACCUAGCUGCAUCCGAGGCACCGGGGACCCGUGGUCUUGCACGUCAGGCUAUCCACUCUGAAGUUUUGUUCUAGCAGCCCAAACGGAUGAGGACGUGAAAGUGCCUUCUGCCUGGACUGCUUCUCCCUGGCUCUUCUCCCCGCUGGAUAUGUCUCUUUCUUCAGAUGUCAGACCAAAGCUGUGGAACGAAAGUGACUCCUGGGCUCUGCGAGCUGACAACACCCCCAGCUUGGAGUGCGCACCUCCCACAGGCCCCUGGUUUGGAGAGCUGGGGGGGCACCGAGGGUUACUAGUCUGCUCAGAUUCCCUAUUUAUUUCUGAAGGUAAUUUUGACAAUUUACAUUUUCUUAGAAAACCAUCCAUUUUAUCAAGCUUUUCAAAUUCAGUAUCACAGAAGUAUAUCUAUUAUUUCUCAUGACUUAAAAUAUCUUCCAUACCUUUGUUUAUAUCCCUUUACUUAUUUCUAAUUCUCAGUAUCUGUUUUCUCUUUUUUUCUUAACGGCACUAU
Molecule: long non-coding RNA, 3601 nt
Organism: Equus caballus (horse)
Lineage: Eukaryota; Metazoa; Chordata; Mammalia; Perissodactyla; Equidae
Source: Ensembl